This is a long non-coding RNA of Numida meleagris (helmeted guineafowl), 1307 nucleotides long. RefSeq lists it as uncharacterized. The record is from RefSeq and is a predicted model, not a curated record. The transcript has 3 exons. NCBI's taxonomy places the organism in Eukaryota, Metazoa, Chordata, Aves, Galliformes, Numididae.
AAGAAGAGCAUGUCUUGGUGUAGGCUGCUUCUUGAGGAGGAGUGCUGCGUAGCCAGAGAUCCACUUCACUAUUUGGCCUGCUGCCUCUAGCCAGAAGCCUCUCCAUGGGCAGAAUGAUUCUCCUUUCUCAUCAGUCACCACAAUGAAAUAUUAAGAAUGUAUUUUACUCUGCAAAAAGUGUUUGUUGCACUAAUACAUUAUCAAGAUAUGUGAACAGUUCUAGAAUGUGAAAAAGUGCAUUAUUCUCUCUGGGAGCCAAAUAUAUACUUCAGCAAAGGUGGAUGUCUGGCCAUUCGGAUAUUCUGCAAGAUAUAUAUUAUCUGCAUCGCUCCUAUGGCAGAGUGAAAAAUGUUUAAUAUAAGUUUUUCAAGGCAUGAAAACAGUUCGGAAUUCAUCUUCCUGUGAAUAUAUGUUUGAAGGGAGCAUUUAAUAAAAGUGAAAAUCUAGAUUUCUUCUGAAAGCCUUUCUACAUUUUCUUACCAGUAAAAAUGAAACUUUAAAGCUGUAACUUAUCUUUCGCAAUUGGCCAUCAGUAACCAGGCAAUCUGGGGAAAAAGAGAUAUCUGAAGUCACUUUUCAAGGAUUCUUUUGAAGUUACUACUGAACUUGUGUUUGGGGUAAGCAGUAUUUUCCUCGAUACUGUCUUUUGCAAGCAAAAGAGUUUUUCAUUCUCAGCGCUUACUUAGGAACAGUGAAGGUGAAAUUGUGGGUACUACGAUUAUCGGGGCAACUUAUUGAAAUUGGUCUUGGAUAAUAAUUUCAUUGUGUGCUUGAAUAUUUCAUUUUGUUCUGACUUCUGAUGACUUUCUUUACCUGUGUAAUUGUAAUAAUUUGGGAGUUGUUUUUAGUGACUCUUAAAGUUAAAUGGAACUCCUCAUAGAGGAUAGAGAGGGAAAACUUUGUACUUCAUUAUAGAUAUAUGCAUUAGUUAUUCACAAUGAAAUGUCAAUCCAACAUUUUUUUUAGCGUAAAACAAGGUACAGUAAGAUGCAUCUUACACAUUAAACUCCUAUGUUCUACAGUGCUCAACUUACAGAAAUUGCCAUUGCUAAUUUACUGUGAUUUUAAGAGUACGUGCAGAUACUUGACUAAAGAAAACCAUCAGAUGAAUUCUGUGUCUCUUUACUGCUUUAAGUUGUAACAUCUUGCAUUGAUAAGCUUAAUCAUCUACAGUCAAUGAAAGAUUAAUUUUUCUGUCUUUAUUUACAUUAAUCUACUUAAUUUUCAUACUUUGCAUGCUUACAUUUCUUCCACACCUUGCAAAUAAAUGUUUCCACAUUACCAAGUGGUUCUGGCUCCGUGACUGA